Small nuclear RNA from Loxodonta africana (African savanna elephant), 171 nucleotides. It matches the Rfam family "U1 spliceosomal RNA". Rfam says of the family: U1 is a small nuclear RNA (snRNA) component of the spliceosome (involved in pre-mRNA splicing). Its 5' end forms complementary base pairs with the 5' splice junction, thus defining the 5' donor site of an intron. The record is from Rfam. Lineage: Eukaryota; Metazoa; Chordata; Mammalia; Proboscidea; Elephantidae.
GUACUUACCUCGCAGAGAUGAUACUGUGCUCACGAAGGUGGCUUUCCUAGGGCGAGGCUUAUUCAUUGCAUUCUGGAUUCCGGAUGUGCUGACCCCUGUGAUUUCCCCAGAUAUGGGAGACUUGACUGCACAAUUUGCUUGCAGAGUGGACUGCAUUCGUGCUUUUUCCUG